CAACAUUUGAUGGGAUAGUUCGAGUGCGGUCUAUACAUGCAGUCGAGCGAAGAUUUAAAAGCUUGCUUUUGAAUCUUAGCGGCGGACGGGUGAGUAACACGUGGGCAACCUGCCUGUAAGACUGGGAUAACUUCGGGAAACCGGAGCUAAUACCGGAUAAUGCUUCUUCUCACAUGAGAGGAAGCUGAAAGAUGGCUUCGGCUAUCACUUACAGAUGGGCCCGCGGCGCAUUAGCUAGUUGGUGAGGUAACGGCUCACCAAGGCGACGAUGCGUAGCCGACCUGAGAGGGUGAUCGGCCACACUGGGACUGAGACACGGCCCAGACUCCUACGGGAGGCAGCAGUAGGGAAUCUUCCGCAAUGGACGAAAGUCUGACGGAGCAACGCCGCGUGAGUGAUGAAGGUUUUCGGAUCGUAAAACUCUGUUGUUAGGGAAGAACAAGUACCGUUCGAAUAGGGCGGUACCUUGACGGUACCUAACCAGAAAGCCACGGCUAACUACGUGCCAGCAGCCGCGGUAAUACGUACGUGGCAAGCGUUGUCCGGAAUUAUUGGGCGUAAAGCGCGCGCAGGUGGUCUCUUAAGUCUGAUGUGAAAGCCCCCGGCUCAACCGGGGAGGGUCAUUGGAAACUGGGAGACUUGAGUGCAGAGAGAAGAGUGGAAUUCCACGUGUAGCGGUGAAAUGCGUAGAGAUGUGGGAGGAACACCAGUGGGCGAAUGCGACUCUUGGCCUGUAACUGACACUGAGCGCGAAAGCGUGGGGAGCAAACAGAUUAGAUACCCUGGUAGUCCACGCCGUAAACGAUGAGUGCUAGUGUUAGAAGGGUUUCCGCCCUUUAGUGCUGCAGCAAACGCAUUAAGCACUCCGGCCUGGGGGAGUACGGCGCAAGCUGAAACUCAAAGAAUGGACGGGGCCGCACAGCGGUGGAGCAUGUGGAUUUAUUCGAAGCACGCGGAGACCUAACAGUCUGACAUCUCUGACAUCCUAAAGAAUCGGCGCCCAUCCGGGGACGAUGAACGUGGGCCAUGGAUGUCUCACUCGUUCCUGGAGUUAGUAGGUCACGCACAGAGUCA
This 1074-nucleotide ribosomal RNA is filed under the name Bacillus sp. (in: firmicutes). Its description in RNAcentral is "bacterial SSU rRNA". It matches the Rfam family "Bacterial small subunit ribosomal RNA", at positions 1 to 1100 of the family's 1533-position model. Lineage: Bacteria; Bacillati; Bacillota; Bacilli; Caryophanales; Bacillaceae. The record is from RNAcentral.